AACUACCAGUGGACGAUGCUACUCUUAGAAGAUACUUCAUCUGUUUAGACAAAAACAAGGACGGUUCUAUUGAUUACAACGAGUUUGCAGAUGAGUUGGGUGUGCAUAUUCAACAUGUCAGCUCCAAAGGAAUGACAACGGUCAUGAAGAGCAGUUAUACUCCAAUUAAUGAGAGGAGUCAGGAGAUGGAAGUAAAGAUUGACAAACAGAAA
Bolinopsis microptera is the source of this 212-nucleotide long non-coding RNA. RefSeq lists it as uncharacterized. The transcript has 3 exons. Lineage: Eukaryota; Metazoa; Ctenophora; Tentaculata; Lobata; Bolinopsidae. The record is from RefSeq and is a predicted model, not a curated record.